This 77-nucleotide transfer RNA is filed under the name Planctomycetota bacterium. RNAcentral describes it as "Planctomycetes bacterium tRNA-Met". It matches the Rfam family "tRNA". From Rfam's summary of the family: Transfer RNA (tRNA) molecules are approximately 80 nucleotides in length. The record is from RNAcentral. Lineage: Bacteria; Pseudomonadati; Planctomycetota.
CGCGGGGAAGAGCAGUACGGUCGCUCGCGAGCCUCAUAAGCUCGAGGACGUGGGUUCGAAUCCCACCCCCGCUACCA